RNAcentral lists this microRNA (22 nucleotides) under Shrimp white spot syndrome virus. Its description in RNAcentral is "wssv-mir190". Lineage: Naldaviricetes; Nimaviridae. The record is from RNAcentral.
CAUAACACACCCUAGGGAUCAA